RNAcentral lists this ribosomal RNA (396 nucleotides) under uncultured bacterium. RNAcentral describes it as "bacterial SSU rRNA". It matches the Rfam family "Bacterial small subunit ribosomal RNA", at positions 521 to 916 of the family's 1533-position model. The record is from RNAcentral.
UAAUACGUAGGGUGCGAGCGUUAAUCGGAAUUACUGGGCGUAAAGCGUGCGCAGGCGGUUUUGUAAGCCAGACGUGAAAUCCCCGGGCUUAACCUGGGAAUGGCGUUUGGGACUGCAAGGCUGGAGUGCGGCAGAGGGGACUGGAAUUCCUGGUGUAGCAGUGAAAUGCGUAGAUAUCAGGAGGAACACCGAUGGCGAAGGCAGGUCCCUGGGCUGACACUGACGCUCAUGCACGAAAGCGUGGGGAGCAAACAGGAUUAGAUACCCUGGUAGUCCACGCCCUAAACGAUGUCGACUGGUUGUUGGGGGUUUGACACUCUCAGUAACGAAGCUAACGCGUGAAGUCGACCGCCUGGGGAGUACGGCCGCAAGGUUAAAACUCAAAUGAAUUGACGG